UACAGAGGGUGCAAGCGUUGUUCGGAAUUAUUGGGCGUAAAGGGCGCGUAGGCGGCAAUUCAAGUCAUCUGUGAAAUCUCCGGGCUUAACCCGGAACGGUCAGGUGAUACUGUUUUGCUAGAGUGCGGAAGGGGCAAUCGGAAUUCUCGGUGUAGCGGUGAAAUGCGUAGAUAUCAGGAGGAACACCUGUGGCGAAAGCGGCUCACUGGACCACAACUGACGCUGAUGCACGAAAGCUAGGGGAGCAAACAGG
This 253-nucleotide ribosomal RNA is filed under the name uncultured bacterium. RNAcentral's name for it is "partial 16S ribosomal RNA". It matches the Rfam family "Bacterial small subunit ribosomal RNA", at positions 524 to 776 of the family's 1533-position model. The record is from RNAcentral.